MicroRNA precursor from Brassica oleracea var. oleracea, 111 nucleotides. NCBI's taxonomy places the organism in Eukaryota, Viridiplantae, Streptophyta, Magnoliopsida, Brassicales, Brassicaceae. The record is from Rfam.
AGAGUAUAAUGCAGCCAAGGAUGACUUGCCGGAGGGUCGUUCAUCAUGCAUAAUAAUAUUGGUGAUGAACAUAAUUCUGGCAAGUUGUCCUUCGGCUACAUUUUGCUCUCU